UACAGAGGUCUCAAGCGUUGUUCGGAUUCAUUGGGCGUAAAGGGUGCGUAGGUGGCGCUGUAAGUCAGGUGUGAAAUUUCGGAGCUUAACUCCGAAACUGCAUUUGAUACUGCGGUGCUUGAGGACUGGAGAGGAGACUGGAAUUCACGGUGUAGCAGUGAAAUGCGUAGAGAUCGUGAGGAAGACCAGUGGCGAAGGCGGGUCUCUGGACAGUUCCUGACACUGAGGCACGAAGGCCAGGGGAGCAAGCGGG
Molecule: ribosomal RNA, 253 nt
Filed under: uncultured bacterium
Lineage: Bacteria
Description: partial 16S ribosomal RNA
Rfam family: Bacterial small subunit ribosomal RNA
Source: RNAcentral